Molecule: ribosomal RNA, 497 nt
Filed under: uncultured bacterium
Lineage: Bacteria
Description: partial 16S ribosomal RNA
Rfam family: Bacterial small subunit ribosomal RNA
Source: RNAcentral
GAUGAACGCUGGCGGCGUGCCUAAUACAUGCAAGUCGAGCGAACAGACGAGGAGCUUGCUCCUCUGAUGUUAGCGGCGGACGGGUGAGUAACACGUGGAUAACCUACCUAUAAGACUGGGAUAACUUCGGGAAACCGGAGCUAAUACCGGAUAAUAUGUUGAACCGCAUGGUUCAACAGUGAAAGACGGUUUUGCUGUCACUUAUAGAUGGAUCCGCGCCGCAUUAGCUAGUUGGUAAGGUAACGGCUUACCAAGGCAACGAUGCGUAGCCGACCUGAGAGGGUGAUCGGCCACACUGGAACUGAGACACGGUCCAGACUCCUACGGGAGGCAGCAGUAGGGAAUCUUCCGCAAUGGGCGAAAGCCUGACGGAGCAACGCCGCGUGAGUGAAGAAGGUCUUCGGAUCGUGAAACUCUGUUAUUAGGGAAGAACAAAUGUGUAAGUAACUAUGCACGUCUUGACGGUACCUAAUCAGAAAGCCACGGCUAACUACGUG